This 468-nucleotide ribosomal RNA is filed under the name uncultured bacterium. Its description in RNAcentral is "partial 16S ribosomal RNA". It matches the Rfam family "Bacterial small subunit ribosomal RNA", at positions 28 to 507 of the family's 1533-position model. The record is from RNAcentral.
GACGAACGCUGGCGGCGUGCUUAAUACAUGCAAGUCGAACGGAAAGGCCCUGCUCUUGCGGGGUGCUCGAUAGGCGCACGGGUGAGUAAAACGUGUGUAACAUGUCCUUGACUUUCUGGUAUCUUUACGAAACUGGGGCUAUUAUAGGAUAGAAUCUCUUGAUGCACGGUGGGGGAUGGUAAGAUACGGUGGUUGGGGCUCGUUUGGCUGGUUAUCCGCUUGUUUGGGGGGUAGUGGCUUACGAAGGGUUUGACGGGUAGCCGGCCUGAGAGGGUGACCGGCCACAUGGGGACUGAGAGAGGGCCCAGACUCCUACGGGAGGCAACGGUGGAGAGUAUUGCGCAGUAGGCGGAAGCCUGAGGCGACGGCGCCGCGUGCGGAAUGACGGCCUUCGAGUGGUAAACCGAUUUCGACUGUGACGAAGCGUGAGUGACGGUAAUGGGUAAGGAAGCACCGGCUAACUACGUG